CAACCAGAGAGAGAGAGAGAGAAAAAAUGAUAGCGACAGGGACAACCAGAGAGAGAGAGAGAGAGAAAAUGAUAGUGACAGGGACAACCAGAGAGAGAGAGAGAGAGAGAAAAUGAUAGCGACAGGGACAACCAGAGAGAGAAAAUGAUAGCGACAGGGACUGUGAAAAGGAUAGCGACAGGCACAACCAGAGAGAUAGAAAGAGAAAAUGAUAGCAACAGGGACAACCAGAGAGAGAGAGAGAGAGAGAAAAGUAUAGCGACAGGGACAACCAGAGAGAGAGAAAGAGAAAAUGAUAGCGACAGGGACAACCAGAGAGAGAGAGAGAGAGAGAGAGAAAAGGAUAGCGACAGGGACAACCAGAGAGAGAGAGAGAGAGAAAAUGAUAGCGACAGGGACAACCAGAGAGAGAGAGAAAAUGAUAGCGACAGGGACAACCAGAGAGAGAGAGAAAAUGAUAGCGACAGGGACAACCAGAGAGAGAGAGAGAAAAUGAUAGCGACAAGGACAACCAGAGAGAGAGAGAAAAUGAUAGCGACAGGGACAACCAGAGAGAGAGAGACUAUGAUAGCGACAGGGACUGUGAAAAGGAUAGCGACAGGCACAACCAGAGAGAUAGAAAGAGAAAAUGAUAGCAACAGGGACAACCAGAGAGAGAGAGAGAGAGAGAGAGAGAGAAAAGGAUAGCGACAGGGACAACCAGAGAGAGAGAGAGAAAAUGAUAGCGACAGGGACAACCAGAGAGAGAGAAAGAGAAAAUGAUAGCGACAGGGACAACCAGAGAGAGAGAAAGAGAAAAUGAUAGCAACAGGGACAACCAGAGAGAGAGAGAGAGAGAGAAAAAAGGAUAGCGACAGGGACAACCAG
Molecule: long non-coding RNA, 867 nt
Organism: Oncorhynchus tshawytscha (Chinook salmon)
Lineage: Eukaryota; Metazoa; Chordata; Actinopteri; Salmoniformes; Salmonidae
Source: Ensembl